RNAcentral lists this ribosomal RNA (1315 nucleotides) under Xylaria grammica. RNAcentral's name for it is "eukaryotic LSU rRNA". It matches the Rfam family "Eukaryotic large subunit ribosomal RNA", at positions 95 to 1433 of the family's 3401-position model. The record is from RNAcentral. Lineage: Eukaryota; Fungi; Ascomycota; Sordariomycetes; Xylariales; Xylariaceae.
GAAGCGGCAACAGCUCAAAUUUGAAAUCUGGCCUUCGGGUCCGAGUUGUAAUUUGUAGAGGAUGCUUUUGGCGCGGUGCCUUCCGAGUUCCCUGGAAUGGGACGCCUUAGAGGGUGAGAGCCCCGUAUGGUUGGACACCAAGCCUCUGUAAAGCUCCUUCGACGAGUCGAGUAGUUUGGGAAUGCUGCUCUAAAUGGGAGGUAAAUUUCUUCUAAAGCUAAAUAUUGGCCAGAGACCGAUAGCGCACAAGUAGAGUGAUCGAAAGAUGAAAAGCACUUUGAAAAGAGGGUUAAAUAGCACGUGAAAUUGUUGAAAGGGAAGCGUUUGCGACCAGACCUUUUCGUAGCGGAUCAUCCGGUGUUCUCACCGGUGCACUUCGCUUCGUUUAGGCCAGCAUCGGUUUCUGUAGGGGGAUAAAAGCUUGGGGAACGUAGCUCCCUCGGGAGUGUUAUAGCCCCUCGCAUAAUACCCUUACGGGGACCGAGGACCGCGCUUUAUGCAAGGAUGCUGGCGUAAUGGUCGUCAACGACCCGUCUUGAAACACGGACCAAGGAGUCGAACAUUUAUGCGAGUGUUUGGGUGUUAAACCCUCACGCGUAAUGAAAGUGAACGGAGGUGAGAGCCCUUACGGGUGCAUCAUCGACCGAUCCUGAUGUCUUCGGAUGGAUUUGAGUAAGAGCAUAACUGUUCGGACCCGAAAGAUGGUGAACUAUGCGUGGAUAGGGUGAAGCCAGAGGAAACUCUGGUGGAGGCUCGCAGCGGUUCUGACGUGCAAAUCGAUCGUCAAAUCUGCGCAUGGGGGCGAAAGACUUAUCGAACCAUCUAGUAGCUGGUUACCGCCGAAGUUUCCCUCASGAUAGCAGUGUUGUUCUUCAGUUUUAUGAGGUAAAGCGAAUGAUUAGGGACUCGGGGGCGCUUUUUAGCCUUCAUCCAUUCUCAAACUUUAAAUAUGUAAGAAGCCCUUGUUACUUAAUUGAACGUGGGCAUUCGAAUGUACCAACACUAGUGGGCCAUUUUUGGUAAGCAGAACUGGCGAUGCGGGAUGAACCGAACGCGGGGUUAAGGUGCCGGAGUGGACGCUCAUCAGACACCACAAAAGGUGUUAGCACAUUUAGACAAUAGGACGGUGGCCAUGGMAGUCGGAAUCCGCUAAGGACUGKGUAACAACUCACCUAUCGAAUGUGCUAGCCCUGAAAAUGGAUGGCGCUCAAGCGUCCCACCCAUACCUCGCCCUCAGGGUAGAAACGAUGCCCUGAGGAGUAGGCGGCCGUGAGCGGGUGCAGUGACGAAGCCUAGGGCGGAGCCCGUGACGUUU